Molecule: ribosomal RNA, 459 nt
Filed under: uncultured bacterium
Lineage: Bacteria
Description: partial 16S ribosomal RNA
Rfam family: Bacterial small subunit ribosomal RNA
Source: RNAcentral
CCUACGGGAGGCAGCAGUGAGGAAUAUUGGUCAAUGGGCGCGAGCCUGAACCAGCCAAGCCGCGUGAGGGAAGACGGUCCUAUGGAUUGUAAACCUCUUUUGUCGGGGAGCAAAAGACGCCACGCGUGGCGUUCCGAGAGUACCCGAAGAAAAAGCAUCGGCUAACUCCGUGCCAGCAGCCGCGGUAAUACGGGGGAUGCGAGCGUUAUCCGGAUUUAUUGGGUUUAAAGGGUGCGCAGGCGGAAGAUCAAGUCAGCGGUAAAAUUGAGAGGCUCAACCUCUUCGAGCCGUUGAAACUGGUUUACUUGAGUGAGCGAGAGGUAUGCGGAAUGCGAGGUGUAGCGGUGAAAUGCAUAGAUAUCACGCAGAACUCCGAUUGCGAAGGCAGCAUACCGGCGCUCAACUGACGCUGAUGCACGAAAGUGUGGGUAUCGAACAGGAUUAGAUACCCCAGUAGUC